CUGUAACUUUAGUCUAGGCUCUGGCUAUACGGCAUUGUGACAUAUCACUGCACUGAUCACCCAGGUGUUAUAACUCUUGUCUAGGCUCUGCCUACAGGGGCUUGUGACAUAACUCUGCACUGACCACCCAGGUGAUAUAACUCUUCUCUAGGAUCUCCCUAUAGGGUGCUUUGUGACAUAUCAAUGCAAUGGUCACCCAGGUGAUAUACCACUUGUCAAGGCUCUGCCUACAGGGGCAUUGCGAUGUAUCUCUGCACUGAUCACCUAGGUCAUGUAACUCUUGUCUAGGCUCAGCCUACAGGGGCAUUGUGGCAUAACUCUGCACUGAUCAACCAGGUGAUGUAACUCUUGUCUAGUAUCUGCCUAAGGGGACUUUGUGAUAUAAAUCUGCACUGAUCAUCCAGCUGAUGGGGCUGUUGUAUAGGCUCUGCCUAAGGGGGCAUUGUGACAUAUUUCUGCACUGAUCACCCAGGUGACAGACUCUUGUCUUCGAUCUGCCUAUGGGGGCAUUGUGACAUAUCUCUGCACUGAUCGCCCAGGUGAUGUAACUGUUGUAUAAGCUCUGCCUACAGGGGAAUUGUGAGAGGUCUCGCCACUGAUCACCAAAGUGAUGUAACUAUUGUCUAGGCUUUGCCUACAGGGGGCUUUGUAACAUUCCUUUGCACUUGUCACCCAGGUGAUGUAACUCAUCUAAGUUCUGCCUACAGGAGCUUUUUGAUAUAUCUCUGCACUGAUCACUUAGGUGAUGUAACAGUUUUCUAAGCACUGCCGACAGGGAACUUUGACAAAUCUCUGCACUGAUCACAUAGGUGAUGUAAGUCUUUUCUACCCUCUGCCCAAAGGGGGCAUUGUGAAAUAUCUCUGCACUGAUCACUCAGGUGAUUCAACUCUUGUCUUGGAUCUGCCUACAGGGGUAUUGGGAAAUAUCUCUGCACUGAUCACCCAGGUGAUGAAACUCUUCUCUAUGCUCUGCCUACAGGGGGCAUUAUGACAUAUCUCUGCUCUGAUCACCCAGGUGAUGUAACUCUUUUCUAGGCUCUGCCUACAGAGGGCAUUGUGACAUUACUCUGCACGGAUCACCCGGGUUAUGUAACUCUUGUCUAGGCUCUGCCUAUGCGGGCAUUGUGACUUAUCACUGCACUGAUAACCCAGGAGAUGUGACUAUUGUAUAAGCUCUGCCUAGAGGAACAUUGGGACAUAUCUUUGCACUGACCGCUGAUGUGAUGUAAAACUUGUCUAGGCUUUGCCUACAGUGGGAUUUAUGACAUAUCUCUGCACUGAUCACCCAGGUGAUGUAACUCUUGUCUAGGCUCUGCCUACAGGGGCAUUUUCACAUAUCACUGCACUGAUCACCGAGAUAAUGUAACUCGUGUUUAGGCUUCGCUGACAGGGG
This 1393-nucleotide long non-coding RNA is filed under the name Homo sapiens (human). RNAcentral describes it as "HSALNT0409334". The record is from RNAcentral. Lineage: Eukaryota; Metazoa; Chordata; Mammalia; Primates; Hominidae.